AUUGAACGUUGGCGGCAGGCCUAAUACAUGCAAGUCGAACGGCAGCACAGAGAGCUUGCUCUUGGGUGGCGAGUGGCGGACGGGUGAGUAACGCGUAGGAAUCUACCCAGUAGCGGGGGAUAGCCCGGGGAAACUCGGAUUAAUACCGCAUACGCCCCACGGGGGAAAGGCCGGGAUCUUCGGACCGGUCACUAUUGGAGGAGCCUGCGUUGGAUUAGCUUGUUGGUGGGGUAAAGGCCUACCAAGGCUACGAUCCAUAGCUGGUCUGAGAGGACGAUCAGCCACACUGGAACUGAGACACGGUCCAGACUCCUACGGGAGGCAGCAGUAGGGAAUAUUGUGCAAUGGGCGAAAGCCUGACACAGCCAUGCCGCGUGUGUGAAGAAGGCCCUAGGGUUGUAAAGCACUUUCAGUAGGGAGGAAAAGUUGAUGGCUAAUACCCAUCAGCCCUGACGUUACCUACAGAAGAAGCACCGGCAAACUCCGUGCCAGCAGCCGCGGUA
Molecule: ribosomal RNA, 503 nt
Filed under: uncultured bacterium
Lineage: Bacteria
Description: bacterial SSU rRNA
Rfam family: Bacterial small subunit ribosomal RNA
Source: RNAcentral